This 872-nucleotide ribosomal RNA is filed under the name uncultured bacterium. Its description in RNAcentral is "bacterial SSU rRNA". It matches the Rfam family "Bacterial small subunit ribosomal RNA", at positions 28 to 902 of the family's 1533-position model. The record is from RNAcentral.
GACGAACGCUGGCGGCGUGCCUAACACAUGCAAGUCGAGCGAAGAAUAUAUAAAGAAAUCUUCGGAUGGAAUUAUGUAUUUCUUAGCGGCGGACGGGUGAGUAACGCGUGAGGAACCUGCCUUGUACUAGGGGAUAGCCUCGGGAAACCGGGAUUAAUACCCUAUGAUACUUGAAAGUCGCAUGACUUUCAAGUCAAAGCGAUUUAGCGGUACAAGAUGGCCUCGCGUCCCAUUAGCUAGUUGGCGAGGUAAUAGCUCACCAAGGCGACGAUGGGUAGCCGGCCUGAGAGGGUGAACGGCCACACUGGAACUGAGACACGGUCCAGACUCCUACGGGAGGCAGCAGUGGGGAAUAUUGCACAAUGGAGGAAACUCUGAUGCAGCGACGCCGCGUGAGCGAUGAAGGUUUUCGAAUCGUAAAGCUCUGUCCUAAGGGACGAUAAUGACGGUACCUUAGGAGGAAGCCCCGGCUAACUACGUGCCAGCAGCCGCGGUAAUACGUAAGGGGCGAGCGUUGUCCGGAUUUAUUGGGCGUAAAGGGUGCGUAGGCGGCCUUGUAAGUCAGAUGUGAAAUCUCACGGCUUAACCGUGGUAAGCAUUUGAAACUGUGAGGCUUGAGUACAGGAGAGGAGAGUGGAAUUCCUAGUGUAGCGGUGAAAUGCGUAGAUAUUAGGAGGAAUACCAGUGGCGAAGGCGACUCUCUGGACUGUAACUGACGCUGAGGCACGAAAGCGUGGGGAGCAAACAGGAUUAGAUACCCUGGUAGUCCACGCCGUAGACGAUGAGUGCUAGGUGUCGGGGGUCAAACCUCGGUGCCGCAGUUAACACAUCAAGCACUCCGCCUGGGGAGUACGGUGGCAACGCUGACACUC